RNAcentral lists this ribosomal RNA (451 nucleotides) under uncultured bacterium. Its description in RNAcentral is "partial 16S ribosomal RNA". It matches the Rfam family "Bacterial small subunit ribosomal RNA", at positions 29 to 523 of the family's 1533-position model. The record is from RNAcentral.
AGCGAACGCUGGCGGCAGGCCUAACACAUGCAAGUCGAGCGCCCGUAGCAAUACGGGAGCGGCAGACGGGUGAGUAACACGUGGGAACGUACCCUUCGGUUCGGAAUAACCCAGGGAAACUUGGACUAAUACCGGAUACGUCCGUAAGGAGAAAGAUUUAUCGCCGAAGGAUCGGCCCGCGUCCGAUUAGCUUGUUGGUGGGGUAAUGGCCCACCAAGGCUACGAUCGGUAGCUGGUCUGAGAGGAUGAUCAGCCACACUGGGACUGAGACACGGCCCAGACUCCUACGGGAGGCAGCAGUGGGGAAUAUUGGACAAUGGGCGCAAGCCUGAUCCAGUCAUGCCGCGUGGGUGAUGAAGGCCCUAGGGUUGUAAAGCCCUUUCGGCGGGGAAGAUAAUGACGGUACCCGCAGAAGAAGCCCCGGCUAACUUCGUGCCAGCCGCCGCGGUAA